AUUGAACGCUGGCGGCAGGCCUAACACAUGCAAGUCGAGCGGAUGAAGGGAGCUUGCUCCUGGAUUCAGCGGCGGACGGGGGAGUAAUGCCUAGGAAUCUGCCUGGUAGUGGGGGAUAACGUCCGGAAACGGGCGCUAAUACCGCAUGCGUCCUGAGGGAGAAAGUGGGGGAUCUUCGGACCUCACGCUAGCAGAGGAGCCUAGGUCGGAUUAGCUAGUUGGUGGGGUAAAGGCCUUCCAAGCCGACGAUCCGUCACUGGUCUGAGAGGAUGAUAAGUCACCCUGGAACUGAGACACGGUCAAUGCGACUAAGGGAGGGAGCAGUGGGGAAUAGUAGACAGCGGGCGAGAGUCUGAUCCAGUGAGCGGGAGUGUGAGACGAAGGCCUUGGGAGCGUGAAGACGGCUAAGUUGUGAGGAAGCGCAGUAGGCUGAGACGUUGCGGGAUUGACGGUAAUGAGAGAAGAAGCACCGGCUAACUACGUG
This 484-nucleotide ribosomal RNA is filed under the name uncultured bacterium. Its description in RNAcentral is "partial 16S ribosomal RNA". It matches the Rfam family "Bacterial small subunit ribosomal RNA", at positions 29 to 507 of the family's 1533-position model. The record is from RNAcentral.